GGAGCGUUCCGCAUUGGGCGAGCGUGGCGAAAUCAUAAUCCGCAGGUCCCCUGUUCGAAUCAGGGAUGCGCCACCA
This 76-nucleotide transfer RNA is filed under the name Bordetella avium. Its description in RNAcentral is "tRNA-Met". The record is from RNAcentral. Lineage: Bacteria; Pseudomonadati; Pseudomonadota; Betaproteobacteria; Burkholderiales; Alcaligenaceae.